This 638-nucleotide long non-coding RNA is filed under the name Cricetulus griseus (Chinese hamster). RNAcentral's name for it is "lncRNA (ENSCGRG00015043167.1)". The record is from RNAcentral. Lineage: Eukaryota; Metazoa; Chordata; Mammalia; Rodentia; Cricetidae.
CACCGGCUGGCUAGGUCACUCUGAGAAAAAGAAUUCAGGAUGGGUACUAACUAGGAGAAGAAAGGAAACCAGCCAGAAUGGGGGAAAGACGAGGAACAGGUCAAUGGUAGAGGAGCCAAGAGAGGGUCUCCUUGAAUGGCCUGGAGUUCAUUAUGUACACCAAACUGUCUUCAAGAUCACGAAGAUCUACUCGCUUCUGCUUCCCAUGUGCUGGGAUUUAAGGUGUGUACUGUACCUGGCUGGAAUAUGAUAGAAACAGAGCCCUCAUCCAGUGGUUGAUGGAAGCAGAGGCAGACACCCACAGAUAUACACUGAACUGAACUCUGGAACCUAGUUGCAGAGAGGGAAGAAUGAAGAUCAAAGGGCUCAGUACCAGGCUGGUGAAACCACAGAAACAGCUGGCCUGAACAAGGGGGAGCACAUGGACCCCAGACUUCUGUCUGGGAGGCAAGCACAGGACUGAUGCAGACUCCUGAACAUGGAUGUCAAUGAGGAGGCCUCUGUACUUUAGGGGGCCCCUGGAAGUGGAUUACUAUUUUUCCCUGGUGUAAGAAGGGACUUUGAGAGCCCAUCCCAAGCCUCUGCCUGAACACAUGGGGGAGGGCCUAGGUCCGGCCCAGGAUGGGUGGUAGACUUUG